This 497-nucleotide ribosomal RNA is filed under the name uncultured bacterium. Its description in RNAcentral is "partial 16S ribosomal RNA". It matches the Rfam family "Bacterial small subunit ribosomal RNA", at positions 28 to 507 of the family's 1533-position model. The record is from RNAcentral.
GAUGAACGCUGGCGGCGUGCCUAAUACAUGCAAGUCGAGCGCACGGACGAGAAGCUUGCUUCUCUGAUGUUUGCGGCGGACGGGUGAGUAACACGUGGAUAACCUACCUAUAAGACUGGGAUCACUUCGGGAAACCGGAGCUAAUCCCGUAUAAUAUUUUGAACCGCAUGGUUCAAAAGUGAAGGACGGUCUUGCUGUCACUUAUAGAUGGAUCCGCGCUGCAUUAGCUAGUUGGUAAGGUAACGGCGUACCAAGGCAACGAUGCAUAGCCGACCUGAGAGGUUGAUCGGCCACACGGGAACUGAGCCACGGUCCAGACUCCUACGGGAGGCAGCAGAAGGGAAUCUUCCGCAAUGGGCGAAAGCCUGACGGAGCAACGCGGCGUGGGUGAUGAAGGUCUUCGGAUCGUAAAACUCUGUUAUUAGGGAAGAACAUAUGUGUAAGGAACUGUGCACAUCGUGACGGUACCUAAUCAGAAAGCCACGGCUAACUACGUG